Acinonyx jubatus (cheetah) is the source of this 1943-nucleotide long non-coding RNA. RefSeq lists it as uncharacterized. The transcript has 3 exons. The record is from RefSeq and is a predicted model, not a curated record. NCBI's taxonomy places the organism in Eukaryota, Metazoa, Chordata, Mammalia, Carnivora, Felidae.
UAGCAGCAGGGGACCGGAGCCCAGAGCAAGCGUCAGGAAACCUCGGAGUGACGGGCGCGGGGGUCCCCUGGUCAGCGAGGGUCUACCACGCACAGCCUCGGAGGCGCUUGGGUAACCGGAACUCCCUCAGAAGCAUUCAGGUUGAGGCUUUGCAGUCUUGGGAUGUUCUCAAACUUUCGGUGCUCAAGCGUUUCAGAGUCCAGACGUAAUCCGUGUUUGUUUGCACAAAAGAAACAGUAAAUAUAAGCGGUGGAUCCGAACACAGUUAUCGCCCCAGCCUCCAGCGCCACGCCCCCAACCCCCUUGCCCUCGUGGGCGCCCCGUCGGGGCUCUGCCUCCCAGACACACGGGCACGGGCACGAGGGGGAUUUUGUUGCGCUUUUGCGGAAGUAGACCCAGACCACACACGUGACCCUGCAGCUUGCUUUUUCUCACCGCUGGAGCUAAAUCUUGGGGCUUCCCUCCCAGUCAGCAGAGAGAGCCCUGCAAACGCGAGGGGUGACUCUAGCCAAGACUGGCAGCUGGAGGCCUUUUCAUUCAUUGCUCCUACUGAAGACCUUUCGAGACUUCUAAAUUUGGUCAGAGUGUCAGAGGCCGUGCAGGGUGCCUGCGUGCUAAAAAUACCAGCCCCGGUCUGGGGUGGAGGCUGCCCCCGGGGUCCUCCACAGGCACCGUCAGUCCCCUCCUAAGACCCUUGGACUCUCUGUGCCGACACCGGUGCCCCAGGCCACGCAGAUGGCAGCGCGGCACUGGUCCCCAGGUGACCAGGCUGGAAUACCCAAACCUCGCCAAAGGGAGUCACUCCCCGCUGUGGUCUCGUGACCUCCUCGCUCGUGUUCGCUGAGCACCUGCUGUGUGACCUUGCUGGGGAAAGAGAGGAUUAGGACUCUGUCCCUGCCCUGGAAGAGCCUGCCUGCUCGUCGGGAAGGUUUGUUUAUUUUAACGCGGGGGGUGUUGAGAGAAUCCCAAGCCGACUCCAUGCUGUCAGUGCAGAGCCCGACUUGGGGCUUGAACACACAAACUGCGAGAUUGUGACCUGAGCCCACCCCCCCCCACCUGAACCCCAAGAGCGCCUGGGGGAGGGGUGCAGCCUCAGGGAAGUCAGGCUGCCGGGGGUUCGUGUGGUGAUGAGGUGUGAUUUCAGCAAGGAAAUUGGCCAAGUUAGUGCAGGAUGUCAGAGAAGGUUCCUCAAACUGAGGCAGCAAGGGAGGUAGAGAGGAGGGUCUGACUCACCUCCCAGCGCUUUGGGUCGAUACAAAUAUACCAACAUCUCCACGCAGCGUUGCUGAUUUUUCCAGAAUCGCUUCAAAGUAAGAAACAGGGCCAGGCGGAGAUCAUGCUACCCCGGGAGGAUGGGACAAGACCACAUGACCUCUAUGGUCUUCUUGCGAACACCCAGAGCCCUGGCCCAACCACGAGAAGAACGGCAGGCUGGCCCCGACUGGAGGACAUCUCACAAAACCUCUGAGCCGAGUCCCCAGAAUGGCCAGAUCAGCAAAUCCAAGGAAUGGUGGAAAAAGCAUCACAACCCCGAGGAGUGAGGAAGCACGGCACGUGUCCCGGACAGGACCCUGGAGCAGGGAAGGGACGGAAAACCUGGUGAAGUCCACAUAAAGUCUAGAAUUUAGUGACUAAUAACGUGCCGAUGUCAGGUUCUUAGUUUGGACAAAUGUAACCCGGUCGCGGAGAAGGGUAACGUUCCGGGAAAUGCAGGAAAUUCAAACCGAGGGAGGGAUAAUCCGGGAACUCUCUGUACAGCCUUUGCAACUUUUCUUCAGAGUUCAAGGGCACCCUUGAAGUGCACAGGGAGCCCAGGGAGCUUGGAUGUACAGAAAUGUGCAAAGUAAGAAAUUCAAACCUGCUUUUCAGCCCUUCUCUCCCAAGUCCACACCCCAGGAGCUAAAAUGUGAUGUGUGGCUUUUCCUUACCUUCGAGAGUCCUUC